This is a long non-coding RNA of Lotus japonicus, 1229 nucleotides long. RefSeq lists it as uncharacterized. Lineage: Eukaryota; Viridiplantae; Streptophyta; Magnoliopsida; Fabales; Fabaceae. The record is from RefSeq and is a predicted model, not a curated record. The transcript is spliced from 5 exons.
CUUGAGUACUUGCAUAAAAAUGGAAUCAUCCACUUGCUUGUUUUCUAGUGGUGUUCAUAGAGUCAUAUUAUAAUAUGUAUGAUUGAUCUAAGCUUGACCGAUCCAUCACGCGAUCUGACUCUGAUAUCAUCUUUGUGGGUUGCAGGGUCGAAGGAAGUACGAUGUUGCUGCCUCUGCUUGCUCGAGUUCCAAUUGACAGAGUAUUGGCCUCCACCGUCCCGCAUUCAUUUGGUCAUCCCAUUAUAAUAUUAAUUUCAGGUUUUGAUUUCACUACUAUGGCACAGAGCACUUACUUCAACUUGGACUUUCACCACUUCCUUGAAGCAACACCGACACUUUCAGCACCAAAACACAACCUCCUUGCAGUUAUGGAUAAAGGAAAUUCAAUUAAAUAAACUUCAAAUGAUGAACCUUGCACUGGAGCCAAGGAAGAAAAUAAUACAACUACUUCUAAAAAUGAUAAUUAGUGGUGUAGUUUUUGUAUGGACAUUGGACAUAACACAUUGUUUCCUGGCUGGUAUUACUUUCGUCUCAUAAGUCCUUUAUUUAUCUUUCAAGGUUUCUGCUUACAAAGAAAAGAAGAUGAUGCUCCUUGCAGCGAAGUCAAAGAAGAAAUUCAUUUAACUACUUCUCAUGUGGAUUUUGUUGAUAAGGGUAGAAGUGACUGUUGAUGCUCGUUUCAUAGUAACAAUAGGACAUUCAUCUGGGGUCUAAGGUUCUGCGAAAGAGCUGGAAGGGAGUAUGGAGGUCUAGAUUUUUUCACAGUCUUCAUUAUUCACUCAUGUAGUCCAAUCUCACUAGAAUUGUGUCUCUCCCUCAAAUUGGAGACGAUUGUGCAUGGACUUGUAGUUCUGCUUAUGUCAUAAGAUGAAUAUCAGAUGAGCUAUAUUGCAUUUACGAGAAAAGCCAAACUCUCCGGGUCUAACCAUGUCUUCAAGUGGGAGAAGUAAGGCACAGUGACUUCGUCGAUGCAGUGUGGAGACCCAAGGUAGUGUCUUGGUAGAGGGUUGCAUCUUCAAUGGACUUCUAUUAGUUGGGUCAAAAAUAGCUAGUUUCAUUAUAUUGCUCUUUUAUGAAUAUUAGUUUAAUAGUUCUAGUAUUUUAUUAUACAUUAUGAUCUAGAAUAUUCUAUUUCCUAGGAUGGUGCCACAUGUAAGGUCACCUUUCAUUCCUUAAGAGGAUAGAUAGUAUAAGUUGUAUUGCUUCCAUGGUGAAAUGUUAACAAGAAA